CACGAAAGUUGGCAGCACCCGAAAGCCCUUUAUGGGGACCAAGGUGAGGUCAGUAAUCAGGGUAAAGUCGUAACAAGGCAUCCGUAGCGGAAGCUGUGGAUGGAUCACCUCCUUUCUGGAGUA
RNAcentral lists this ribosomal RNA (123 nucleotides) under Marinilabiliales bacterium. Its description in RNAcentral is "partial 16S ribosomal RNA". It matches the Rfam family "Bacterial small subunit ribosomal RNA", at positions 1403 to 1533 of the family's 1533-position model. The record is from RNAcentral. Lineage: Bacteria; Pseudomonadati; Bacteroidota; Bacteroidia; Marinilabiliales.